Molecule: microRNA precursor, 97 nt
Organism: Pan paniscus (pygmy chimpanzee)
Lineage: Eukaryota; Metazoa; Chordata; Mammalia; Primates; Hominidae
Source: Ensembl
GGUACUUCUCAGUCUGUGGCACUCAGCCUUGAGGGCACUUUCUGGUGCCAGAUGAAAGUGCUGUCAUAGUUGAGGUCCAAUGACUGAGGCGAGCACC